GAGAAUGUUGGCAUGAGUAGCGAGAUGUGGGUGGGAAUCCCACAGGCCGUAAACCCAAGGUUUCCAGGGGAAGGUUCGUCCACCCUGGGUUAGUCGGGACCUAAGCUGAGGCCGAAAGGCGUAGGUGAUGGACAACAGGUUGAUAUUCCUGUACUACCGAUAACCGUUUGAGAGAAGGGAUGACACAGUAGGAUAAGCUAAGCACACUG
Molecule: ribosomal RNA, 209 nt
Filed under: Clostridioides difficile
Lineage: Bacteria; Bacillati; Bacillota; Clostridia; Peptostreptococcales; Peptostreptococcaceae
Description: partial 23S ribosomal RNA
Rfam family: Bacterial large subunit ribosomal RNA
Source: RNAcentral